AAACUCCGAUUCACACUGCCACCAUCCACCAUCCACCAUCCGUCAAAAACAGCUGAUGCCAAUAACAAGUUCAUUAAAUUUGCGCGGAAGAUUUAUUAAUUCUUGGUUCUUAUAAUGGAUGAUGAAGAUAUAGCAAUUAUUUCGGCUGUGGUUCAACAGCAAAAUAUUUUCUUGCACCAACUAAUAAUGUUGCUGUCAAUGAAUAAUGAUGAUGACGAUGAUGACUUUAACAUUGACGAGGAUGAGAUGACCCAGAUGACUGCCAUAAAAACACAAAAGCCAGGAAGAUUAUGGUCGUUUAAGCGGUUCCGGACAUUUUGGGAGAAAGAUGUACCAGAAAACAACGAGGCGUUUUUCAAAGAGAGUUUCCGAAUGGAGAGGCCCUGCUUUGAUAUUUUAGUGAAUCGGCUUGAAGUGCUGCGAAAGAAGGACACCAACUGCCGAGCUGCAAUUCCUUUGGAAAAGCGCAUCGCCAUUGCGCUAUACACUUUAUGCUCGUCCUCUGAAUACCGAACAGUUGGCAGGCUUUUCGGUGUAGCUCCAAACAGUGUGUGUAAUAUCCUGCACGAGUUUUGCAGAGCACUUAUCGACGAGUUUUCGAAGGAGUACAUGUCGCCCAAUUACCUAACUUCCGACAAAAUUGAUGAGUGCGUAAAGGGAUUCGAGGCAAUUGGGUUUCCUCAGUGCCUAGGUGCAAUUGGUAGGAAAUCAAUAAGAACGAAAUAAAACCACCAGCAGCUGAGGCAGUAGACCACCAUAACUAUAAGGGCUGGUAUUCCACAGUCUUGUUUGCCCUAGUGGAUUAUAGAUACAGAUUUACAUAUGUAAAUAUCGGCUCUGCAGGAAGGUGCAAUGACUCGAUGAUAUACCAGAAGUCAAGCCUUGCAAAACACAUCGAAGCAUCGGCAUUACUCCAAGAGAAAGCCAAGGAAAUAAGCGGAGUAAACGUCCCUGUAAUGCUUAUCGGGGACUCGGCAUUUAGGUUUUCUAAAAAGCUGAUGAAACCUUACCCGUUUUCCACAGUCGCCUCUUUGGAAUAGCGCACGUUUAACUACAACCUUUCCAAAGCUAGGGGAGUGGUGGAAAAUGCAUUUGGGCAUUUAAAAGCCAGAUUUCGAAUAAUCGGAAAAGGUCUUGAUAGCCACCACAAAAAUAAUAGCGCCAUAAUAAUGAGCUGUUGUAUUUUACACAAUAUAUUAAAUAUGCACAACAGCGCGAUUAAUGAAAAUUGGGAGCUUGCAACAAAUGAGCAGCGCGAACAGCCCGAUACCAGCAACAGUUCUGCUGACUUUAAUCAGUCAGCAGAACAGAUACGAUCUGCAAUCGCAAAAUAUUGUGUAGACCGUAAUGAAAAUUAAAAACUUAUUUAUUUUUAUUUUUUAAAACUUCUAAUAAGUCGUUCUGGAAUUUUGUUUGGGUGCUGAUCAAGUCCUGCACCAUCUUCUCCUGCCUAACGUGUUGCUCCUCCUUCUUUCUGUGGUGGUCCUUUUGUUGUUCGAGACGCUCCUGGGUGAUCUCUGCCAGCCACGAAAUGUCGGUCUUUUUCUUUUUCUUUGGCGGACGCCCAGACAAGGUGCUGGAGCUACAAGAUCCGUCCAGGUCCA
Drosophila miranda is the source of this 1604-nucleotide long non-coding RNA. RefSeq lists it as uncharacterized. Lineage: Eukaryota; Metazoa; Arthropoda; Insecta; Diptera; Drosophilidae. The record is from RefSeq and is a predicted model, not a curated record. The transcript is spliced from 3 exons.